Molecule: long non-coding RNA, 2370 nt
Organism: Cavia porcellus (domestic guinea pig)
Lineage: Eukaryota; Metazoa; Chordata; Mammalia; Rodentia; Caviidae
Source: Ensembl
AAAUCCCAAAAGUUCACUGCAGGGCACUUAGCCUCCAAAGACACUGCUCUUGUGGACAGAACUUAAUUGGGGUGAUUUUCUUCUAGAUGGAAGAUUUUUGUGACUAAUCUCUCCAGGUAAGAAAAAUCAGAUCGACACCCUAUGGAUCUCACUUGUAAUUCCAGACAGGAAAAAAAGAAAAAAGAAGAAAGAAGAGGCAAAAAGGAAACACAGAGGACUGAUGAGCAAGACAACCGAGGGAGAUGGAGUCCAGCGCAGGAGCUGUGGAAGACGGAAACUGACCACACGUGUGGGGCUAAGUCCUUCACCCCAAGAACCCCAAGAGCUGCAUGGGUCGCGGCAAUCUAAGAAGAAAAAGGCCUUGUUUCAUCACUCAGGUCAGAAGCAAAGGCAAGGAAAGGUAACCUGGACCUGCAGUGUCACCUUCUGCCCUAUGCUGCGUAAAUGUGGGUCACGGCUUCGCCAUUGGCACUGCCUUGAAGAAUCUGAGGUAUCAGGAGGUCAGGGACUCCAGGUGGCCUCCAGUCGACAGAGGAGCACUCUAAGUGCCAAAUCCUGUCUCUCACAUUUGCUGUUCAACUAAGGAUCUUGAAAUGCUUUUUUUUUUUUUGGCUUUUUCGUUUUUACCGGUACCAGGGAUCGAACUCACAACUGCCUGCUUUCAAGGCAGGCGCUUAUGCUGCUGAGCUAAAUCCCCAGCCCCCGAAAUGCUUUUUAAAAAUCAGAAAACUUAGAGAAUAGGAGAAAGAGUGACUUAUGAAUAAAGGGUAACUGAACUUCCUGAAAAAUAUAGCGAGCAUUUAACAAUUUACCACUUUUUCAAAAUGUUAACUCUUAUGACUUUUAGGGCCCAGAUUACUAAGUUAAUCUCCACAUGAAUCCAACUGUGAACUAAUAGAUCUAAAAGUCAUGCUGAUGUACAGGUUUUUGAGCCCUAAACAUAUUAUGAUAGGGCUGCAAUAUUUCGACCUUAACAUUUGAAGAAGUCUACACCUCUUGCUGUACUUUGUAAAAAACUGUCUGUUCUAUACAUUGUGACACUAAUUCUACAACUGUUUAUUGGGGACUGUCUAUACUAAGUUGAAUGUCAGGGAUAAAAAGUUAAGUACAACACAGCUCAUAACAGUUCUUUGGUUAAUUAUGGACUUUAUUGUCUACCUGCUAGCUAGAGUCCCACCCUCUUAUAAGAAGUUUGUCAUUAUCUUCAAAUGUUUGGACUUUUCAUACAGCCAUUUAUGAAGUAUGUUGAAGUUAAAGACAGAAAAUCAUUUGAAUAGCAACAUGCAUACCUAAAUUUUUUUUAGCUCAAAUCAAGCAGUACCUGCUGAUACUGAGGACUGAACCCUGGGCCUCCGCCUUGAGCUACAUUUUCAGUUCUUUUCUGUGUUUCAUUUUGAGUCAGCAUCUUGCUAAGUCAUUAAAUUGCCCAAUCAGGACUAGAGUUUGCAGUCCUCCUGCUUCAGCCUUGUGGGAGCUGGAAUUACAGGCAUGUGUCACCAUGCCUGACUCAUAAUCUUUCAUUGUUGGUGCAUCUUGUUUUAUUCUUGGAAAAAAUACAAUAAGUAAUUAAUAAUAGCAGUUAAUUAAUUCAUCAGUAUGCAAAACAGCAACCUGACUUUCCUGAAGAGUCAUCGCAUUAUAAUUCAUGAGCUGAGAGGAUUCUGAUUUCAUCAUGUACUGUAUACCUUGGGAACAAUUCUACCAGAAUGUAUCUAAUUUUUCAGAGAUAUAAUAGAGGGAACUAUUGGUAGCUUAGAAAUCCAUUUCAUAUUUUCUGUUGUUGUUUUAGUUUUUUUUUUCAUGUUUGUAGUACUAGAUGUUGAGAAUGGGUUUAGGAACUUCGAAUGUUAUCAGGUUGGAUCUAUAAAGCUACAUUGAAACGUACGGUCAUCUCCAUCUAGUUUGCGCUUAAUAAAUUACAAGUGGUUAGAUUCAUGUAUCUUUGUCAUAUUAUUCACAUUUGACAGAAUAAUUCAAAUGAAAAUAAGAAGUAUAAGUUAUAAUCCAAACUAGGAAACAACCCAGUAUCAUUUUUCUUAAGUUGAAGUUACAGAAAACAGAGAGGGGCAGAGUAGAGACAAAACAACAAUGUUCAAUGUAGUCUCACUAAAACCACAUUUAAAGUAUAAAAUGGUUUUAACAUAAAGUAAUAUAGAGGAAAGUAUUUCUCUCAAAUAAUGAGGCAGCCUAGAACCUAGUUCUGAAAACUGAUGCACCACACUAUGCUAGUUCAGCUUCAAUAUGAUUUCAACUCAGCUGUACAAUAUGUCUACAAACUAUGAGACGAAAAUAUAGGGAACUACAGCUGUGGUCGAUAAGAAGAACAUGCUUUAAGGUAUCCUUCUAAAAGUUCAGUUUUCACUUUCUCCU